Molecule: ribosomal RNA, 253 nt
Filed under: uncultured bacterium
Lineage: Bacteria
Description: partial 16S ribosomal RNA
Rfam family: Bacterial small subunit ribosomal RNA
Source: RNAcentral
UACGUAGGGGGCAAGCGUUGUCCGGAUUUAUUGGGCGUAAAGAGCGUGUAGGCGGCCAGGUAGGUCUGCUGUGAAAACUCGAGGCUCAACCUCGAGAUGUCGGCUGAAACCAUCUGGCUAGAGUCCGGAAGAGGAGAAUGGAAUUCCCGGUGUAGCGGUGAAAUGCGUAGAUAUCUGGAGGAACACCGGUGGCGAAGGCGACAUCCUGGACCGGUAUUGACGCUGAGGCGCGAAAGCCAGGGGAGCAAACGGG